This 468-nucleotide ribosomal RNA is filed under the name uncultured bacterium. RNAcentral describes it as "partial 16S ribosomal RNA". It matches the Rfam family "Bacterial small subunit ribosomal RNA", at positions 28 to 507 of the family's 1533-position model. The record is from RNAcentral.
GACGAACGCUGGCGGCGUGCUUAACACAUGCAAGUCGAACGGAAAGGCCCUGCUUUUGUGGGGUGCUCGAGUGGCGAACGGGUGAGUAACACGUGAGUAACCUGCCCUUGACUUUGGGAUAACUUCAGGAAACUGGGGCUAAUACCGGAUAGGAGCUCCUGCUGCAUGGUGGGGGUUGGAAAGUUUCGGCGGUGGGGGAUGGACUCGCGGCUUAUCAGCUUGUUGGUGGGGUCGUGGCUUACCAAGGCGUUGACGGGUAGCCGGCCUGAGCGGGUGACCGGCCACAUUGGGACUGAGGUGCGGCCCAGACUCCUACGGGAGGCAGCAGUGGGGAAGAUUGCACAGUGGGCGGAAGCCUGAUGCAGCAACGCCGCGUGCGGGAGGACGGCCGUCGGGUUGUAGACCGCUUUCGCCUGUGACGAAGCGUGAGUGACGGUAAUGGGUAAAGAAGCACCGGCUAACUACGUG